Engraulis encrasicolus (European anchovy) is the source of this 1062-nucleotide long non-coding RNA. RefSeq lists it as uncharacterized. The transcript has 5 exons. NCBI's taxonomy places the organism in Eukaryota, Metazoa, Chordata, Actinopteri, Clupeiformes, Engraulidae. The record is from RefSeq and is a predicted model, not a curated record.
GUAACUCUGCUUCUCAAUUUUCUGACAAAGCCGCCAUCUUGGUGCUGCAGGAAAGCCGUUUGAGAUAUUGGUGAAAUUCAAACACUUUGUGAGAUGACAGAAUAUUGCUGAAGGAUCCUGCAUGGAAGCUGGCUGAUUACACGGAGUGAUUCCUCUGGUGUGGUGUACCUCAGAGAGAUAAACACUGUUGCAAGAGCUGAGAAGAUAUCCUUAUUACUGGAUGGUUGCUCUCUGGUCGUACUUGAGCCCCCUGGACCAUGUCUGCAAAUGCUUCUGAACAUUGACAGAAUUUCUAAAGGAUCGCUGAGGACUCCCCCUCCAUGCGUGACAUCUUUGAGAAAUUUCCACGCUUUCUGGAGAUGCCAAGUUUGACUGGAACCAACUUUGCAUCCCUCGGCACUGACACUGAGAAGGUUUCAAGGACCCCACUACUAGGAGGCGAGAGUUUGACACGGCAGUGUCAUCACUGCCAUGGAUGACAACGUAACCAUUCCUGUUGAUGAUUGCCUGACUUGCGCAGUGACAAGCUUUUCAUGCUCUACUGGGUGUGUAACUUGGCAUAUCCACCACAGUUUAACUCAGUUUUUGCCUCUUUUGAAUAUGUGUACGAUAUAACCAUCUCAACCAACAAGUGGGCCAAGGUACUGGAACAUUUCUCACUUCAAGUUGCUCUGUAGUCACAGGACAUUUUUUUUUAAACAUCUACGCAGACACCACCACUCCACACCAUGUGUAUUUUAAUUACUUCUGAUUCCACUGACAUGCAGACUACAUCCUAUGCAAAUUCAGGUAAUUUACCUGGUACUGGAGAAACAGCAUUGUAUGCCAUUCUAAGUGAUACUUGCCUCCUUGUUUUGCAAAAAUGUACUGUUCUUUGAAUAUAACUUAAAGUAAGAUCAUGUUGACAAUGAGGUUUUCUCCGGUUGUCAAGCACAACCUUAACGUUUUGUAAGUAAGUAAUAGUCACAGAAUAUGCAUGCAUUUGUAAUUUGAAUUUUCGUUGAAAACGGCUCACCAAGCCUAAAAUGUUACCUCUGCUUUUGAUUUUUCUUUUUUUUUAAA